GAUCCUUUAGUAUAAUUAAGUAUACUCGACUUCCAAUCGAGGGGCGGUAAGGAUUA
RNAcentral lists this transfer RNA (56 nucleotides) under Strongyloides fuelleborni fuelleborni. RNAcentral describes it as "tRNA-Gly". Lineage: Eukaryota; Metazoa; Nematoda; Chromadorea; Rhabditida; Strongyloididae. The record is from RNAcentral.